ACGGGAGGCAGCAGUGAGGAAUAUUGGUCAAUGGACGGAAGUCUGAACCAGCCAUGCCGCGUGCAGGAAUAAGGCCCUAUGGGUCGUAAACUGCUUUUGUGGUGGAGCAAUAAGGCGUACGUGUACGUCGAUGAGAGUACAUCACGAAUAAGCAUCGGCUAACUCCGUGCCAGCAGCCGCGGUAAUACGGAGGAUGCAAGCGUUAUCCGGAUUUAUUGGGUUUAAAGGGAGCGUAGGCGGGUCUUUAAGUCAGUGGUCAAAGCGUGUGGCUCAACCAUACCACGCCAUUGAUACUGGAGACCUUGAGUGCACAUAAGGAUGGUGGAAUUCGUCGUGUAGCGGUGAAAUGCUUAGAUAUGACGAAGAACUCCGAUUGCGAAGGCAGCUGUCCGGGGUGUAACUGACGCUAAUGCUCGAAAGUGCGGGUAUCAAACAGGAUUAGAUACCCUGGUA
RNAcentral lists this ribosomal RNA (453 nucleotides) under uncultured Prevotellaceae bacterium. RNAcentral describes it as "partial 16S ribosomal RNA". It matches the Rfam family "Bacterial small subunit ribosomal RNA", at positions 341 to 792 of the family's 1533-position model. Lineage: Bacteria; Pseudomonadati; Bacteroidota; Bacteroidia; Bacteroidales; Prevotellaceae. The record is from RNAcentral.